This 402-nucleotide ribosomal RNA is filed under the name uncultured bacterium. Its description in RNAcentral is "bacterial SSU rRNA". It matches the Rfam family "Bacterial small subunit ribosomal RNA", at positions 356 to 773 of the family's 1533-position model. The record is from RNAcentral.
GGGGAAUAUUGGGCAAUGGGCGCAAGCCUGACCCAGCAACGCCGCGUGAAGGAAGAAGGCUUUCGGGUUGUAAACUUCUUUUAAGAGGGAAGAGCAGAAGACGGUACCUCUAGAAUAAGCCAUGGCUAACUACGUGCCAGCAGCCGCGGUAAUACGUAGGUGGCAAGCGUUGUCCGGAUUUACUGGGUGUAAAGGGCGUGCAGCCGGGUCUGCAAGUCAGAUGUGAAAUCCAUGGGCUCAACCCAUGAACUGCAUUUGAAACUGUAGAUCUUGAGUGUCGGAGGGGCAAUCGGAAUUCCUAGUGUAGCGGUGAAAUGCGUAGAUAUUAGGAGGAACACCAGUGGCGAAGGCGGAUUGCUGGACGAUAACUGACGGUGAGGCGCGAAAGUGUGGGGAGCAAAC